RNAcentral lists this ribosomal RNA (417 nucleotides) under uncultured bacterium. Its description in RNAcentral is "partial 16S ribosomal RNA". It matches the Rfam family "Bacterial small subunit ribosomal RNA", at positions 360 to 774 of the family's 1533-position model. The record is from RNAcentral.
AAUAUUGGUCAAUGGGCGGGAGCCUGAACCAUCCAUGCCUCGUGCGUGACGAAAGCCGUAUGGGUCGUAAACCGCUUUUACACGGGAACAACCGCAGCUACGUGUAGCUGCCUGAGGGUUCCCUGGGCAUAAGGAUCGGCUAACCCCGUUCCAGCAGCCGCGGUAAUACGGAGGAUCCGAGGGUUAUACGGAAUGAUUGGGUUUAAAGGGUGCGUAGGCGGCACUUUAAGUCAGGGGUGAAAUACAGCGGCUCAACCGUUGCAGUGCCCUUGAUACGGAAGUGCUUGAAUGUGGCCGAAGGAGGCGGAACGGGACAAGUAGCGGUGAAAUGCAUAGAUAUGUCCCAGAAACCCGAUUGCGAAGGCAGCUUCCUAGACCGUUAUUGACGCUGAUGCACGAAAGCGUGGGGAUCGAACA